This 71-nucleotide ribosomal RNA is filed under the name Geosmithia flava. Its description in RNAcentral is "partial 28S ribosomal RNA". The record is from RNAcentral. Lineage: Eukaryota; Fungi; Ascomycota; Sordariomycetes; Hypocreales; Bionectriaceae.
AACUGUGGUAUGUUCACAAAGGUUUGGAGUUUGUAACUCGAUAAUGAUCCCUNCCGCUGNUCACCAACGAG